Molecule: ribosomal RNA, 157 nt
Filed under: uncultured type I methanotroph
Lineage: Bacteria; Pseudomonadati; Pseudomonadota; Gammaproteobacteria; Methylococcales; Methylococcaceae
Description: partial 16S ribosomal RNA
Rfam family: Bacterial small subunit ribosomal RNA
Source: RNAcentral
AAUAUUGGACAAUGGGCGCAAGCCUGAUCCAGCAAUACCGCGUGUGUGAAGAAGGCCUUAGGGUUGUAAAGCACUUUCAAUKGGGAGGAAAACCUGCCGGUCAAUACCCGGUAGCUUGACAUUACCUUUAGAAGAAGCACCGGCUAACUCCGUGCCA